CCGCCCGUCACACCACGAAAGCCCGCUGCAACAGAAAUCAGUGAUCUAACCCGCAAGGGAGGAAGCUGCUGAAGUUGUGGUUGGUGAUUGGGGUG
This 95-nucleotide ribosomal RNA is filed under the name uncultured bacterium. RNAcentral describes it as "partial 16S ribosomal RNA". It matches the Rfam family "Bacterial small subunit ribosomal RNA", at positions 1390 to 1482 of the family's 1533-position model. The record is from RNAcentral.